This 624-nucleotide ribosomal RNA is filed under the name Bacillus subtilis. Its description in RNAcentral is "bacterial SSU rRNA". It matches the Rfam family "Bacterial small subunit ribosomal RNA", at positions 56 to 663 of the family's 1533-position model. The record is from RNAcentral. Lineage: Bacteria; Bacillati; Bacillota; Bacilli; Caryophanales; Bacillaceae.
UGCAGUCGAGCGGACAGAUGGGAGCUUGCUCCCUGAUGUUAGCGGCGGACGGGUGAGUAACACGUGGGUAACCUGCCUGUAAGACUGGGAUAACUCCGGGAAACCGGGGCUAAUACCGGAUGCUUGUUUGAACCGCAUGGUUCAAACAUAAAAGGUGGCUUCGGCUACCACUUACAGAUGGACCCGCGGCGCAUUAGCUAGUUGGUGAGGUAAUGGCUCACCAAGGCGACGAUGCGUAGCCGACCUGAGAGGGUGAUCGGCCACACUGGGACUGAGACACGGCCCAGACUCCUACGGGAGGCAGCAGUAGGGAAUCUUCCGCAAUGGACGAAAGUCUGACGGAGCAACGCCGCGUGAGUGAUGAAGGUUUUCGGAUCGUAAAGCUCUGUUGUUAGGGAAGAACAAGUACCGUUCGAAUAGGGCGGUACCUUGACGGUACCUAACCAGAAAGCCACGGCUAACUACGUGCCAGCAGCCGCGGUAAUACGUAGGUGGCAAGCGUUGUCCGGAAUUAUUGGGCGUAAAGGGCUCGCAGGCGGUUUCUUAAGUCUGAUGUGAAAGCCCCCGGCUCAACCGGGGAGGGUCAUUGGAAACUGGGGAACUUGAGUGCAGAAGAGGAGAGUG